GCUUCCAUAUUCAAGAUCACAUCAUGGUCAAAGUGGCUGGUGGAUCUCCAGUUAUCACAUCCUUGCUCUUAGCAGAAGAAAAAUGGGACAGUGGAAGAGCAGAGAGUACCCAUCUGAGUCAUCCAAAUGUAUGGAAACAACGGUGUGUCCUCUCGUCGAUGGCAUUUUCGAUUUGACGGAAAAUGGUAACACAUGCAGAAUUCUCUGCCCAGCGCCGUAGUGACUAUAGGUUUUUGUCCCAUUUUUGCCUCCAGAAGAUUUAAAAAAGCUGAGAAAAAACAUAUGCCUGUUGUAGCCAGCCUUCAAGAGGCUCCCCAGUGAUCCCCGCCCCCUGGCUUUCAUGCCCUUACGGGAUCGCCUCCCUCACUUUGAAGGGCUCGCUUGUGUGGUUAAUAGGACAUCUCAGAAAUGAUAGAGCAUGGCUUCAGCAGCGAGGUCAUUCAAAUGUUGCUUAACUGUCUUAGAUCACCUAUGUUUUCCUAUAGCCUGCUGUUUUAUGCAAUAAUGUCUUGUGGGUCUCUUUCCAUGGUAAUAAAUAGAGACCAUCACAGGCAAUGAAGGCAAUGUGUUCCUUUGUAUGUAUCCACCAUGUUUUUCUUGUCUAAUCCCCUAUUAGUGGACUUUUCAGUGACUUCUGACAUUACUGUAAAGGAUGCAGCAAUAAACAUUCUGUGUAAUUGCUAGGA
Long non-coding RNA from Suricata suricatta (meerkat), 686 nucleotides. RefSeq lists it as uncharacterized. The transcript is spliced from 2 exons. The record is from RefSeq and is a predicted model, not a curated record. Lineage: Eukaryota; Metazoa; Chordata; Mammalia; Carnivora; Herpestidae.